RNAcentral lists this ribosomal RNA (660 nucleotides) under uncultured bacterium. RNAcentral's name for it is "bacterial SSU rRNA". It matches the Rfam family "Bacterial small subunit ribosomal RNA", at positions 8 to 660 of the family's 1533-position model. The record is from RNAcentral.
AGGGUUUGAUCAUGGCUCAGAUUGAACGCUGGCGGUAUGCUUAACACAUGCAAGUCGAACGGUAACAUAGCUAGCUUGCUAGCUGAUGACGAGUGGCGGACGGGUGAGUAAUGCAUAGGAAUCUGCCUAUUAGUGGGGGACAACCUGUGGAAACGCAGGCUAAUACCGCAUAAGCCCUACGGGGGAAAGCGGGGGAUCUUCGGACCUCGCGCUAAUAGAUGAGCCUAUGUCAGAUUAGCUAGUUGGUGAGGUAAUGGCUCACCAAGGCGACGAUCUGUAGCUGGUCUGAGAGGAUGAUCAGCCACACUGGGACUGAGACACGGCCCAGACUCCUACGGGAGGCAGCAGUGGGGAAUAUUGGACAAUGGGCGAAAGCCUGAUCCAGCAAUACCGCGUGUGUGAAGAAGGCCUGAGGGUUGUAAAGCACUUUCAAUAGUGAGGAAUACCUGGGGGUUAACACUCCCCAGACUGACAUUAGCUAUAGAAGAAGCACCGGCUAACUCCGUGCCAGCAGCCGCGGUAAUACGGAGGGUGUAAGCGUUAAUCGGAAUUACUGGGCGUAAAGCGUGCGUAGGCGGCUUGUUAAGUUAGAUGUGAAAGCCCCGGGCUCAACCUGGGAACUGCAUUUAAAACUGGCGAGCUAGAGUUGAGUAGAGGGGA